CUAAAUGGAAUUAGAUGCCUGUAUGUAUCUAUAGAACUCGCAGCAUCCUAGACCUCUUCUUUAAACUGAAGAGUUGCCAUCUACUGGCCAGUUCUGGCUAUGUAAAUCUCAGCUGCUUGUUGUAGGAUAGGAGAUCGCAACGGUUCCGUCUUAUGAUAUUAUGGGCAAAUGUAUUUGUUAUGCCUCCGAGUUGGAAAAGAAAGCAAAUUGCUUUGUGAGGUAUUAACUUCCUAUUAUUUUAAGCAUGUUGUGCUUCUU
Molecule: long non-coding RNA, 258 nt
Filed under: Populus tremula
Lineage: Eukaryota; Viridiplantae; Streptophyta; Magnoliopsida; Malpighiales; Salicaceae
Description: long non-coding RNA (PTRE_LNC000236)
Source: RNAcentral